AUUGAACGCUGGCGGCAUGCCUUACACAUGCAAGUCGAACGGCAGCGGGGGAGAAGCUUGCUCUUCCUGCCGGCGAGUGGCGAACGGGUGAGUAAUACAUCGGAACGUGCCCUGUAGUGGGGGAUAACUAGCCGAAAGAUUAGCUAAUACCGCAUACGACCUGAGGGUGAAAGUGGGGGACCGCAAGGCCUCAUGCUAUAGGAGCGGCCGAUGUCUGAUUAGCUAGUUGGUGGGGUAAAGGCCUACCAAGGCGACGAUCAGUAGCUGGUCUGAGAGGACGAUCAGCCACACUGGGACUGAGACACGGCCCAGACUCCUACGGGAGGCAGCAGUGGGGAAUUUUGGACAAUGGGCGAAAGCCUGAUCCAGCAAUGCCGCGUGUGUGAAGAAGGCCUUCGGGUUGUAAAGCACUUUUGUCCGGAAAGAAAUGGCUCUGGUUAAUACCUGGGGUCGAUGACGGUACCGGAAGAAUAAGGACCGGCUAACUACGUGCCAGCAGCCGCCGUAA
This 508-nucleotide ribosomal RNA is filed under the name uncultured bacterium. RNAcentral describes it as "partial 16S ribosomal RNA". It matches the Rfam family "Bacterial small subunit ribosomal RNA", at positions 30 to 523 of the family's 1533-position model. The record is from RNAcentral.